RNAcentral lists this ribosomal RNA (536 nucleotides) under uncultured microeukaryote. Its description in RNAcentral is "SSU rRNA". It matches the Rfam family "Eukaryotic small subunit ribosomal RNA", at positions 21 to 549 of the family's 1831-position model. The record is from RNAcentral.
UAGUCAUAUGCUUGUCUCAAAGAUUUAGCCAUGCAUGCCUAAGUACACGCCUAAAUAUGGUAAAACCGCGAAUGGCUCAUUAAAUCAGCUAUGGUUCCUUGGAUCAUAAUUAUACUACAUGGAUAACUGUAGUAAUUCUAGAGCUAAUACGUGCCUUGAUGCCCUGAUCCGCAAGGUGAGGGGUGCACUUAUUAGUCUACAAACCAAACGAUUCGUCGUUGUUUGUGGUGACUCUGGAUAACUUUGUAUGAUCGCAGCUGGCCUCCGUGUCGGCGACGGAUCCAUCAAAUAUCUGCCCUAUCAACUUACGAUGGUAGGUGAUAUGCCUACCAUGGUUAUGACGGGUAACGGGGAAUCAGGGUUCGAUUCCGGAGAGGGAGCCUGAGAAACGGCUACCACAUCCAAGGAAGGCAGCAGGCGCGUAAAUUACCCACUCUCUGAACGAGGAGGUAGUGAAGAUAAAUAUCGAUACAGAACUCAUUUGAGGCUCUGUAAUCGAAAUGAGAGCAAUAUAAAUCCUACAACGAGGAUCUAUU